This 676-nucleotide long non-coding RNA is filed under the name Homo sapiens (human). Its description in RNAcentral is "non-protein coding lnc-DPP10-2:1". The record is from RNAcentral. Lineage: Eukaryota; Metazoa; Chordata; Mammalia; Primates; Hominidae.
CACCCUCCAUCCCAGACUACACCAUGAGGAUAGCAAUGUUGAAGACUGAGGAGGAAAGGAGGCAGGCAAGAAAAACAACUUGCCCAGAAGCAUGAUUCAGAGGAUUAUAGUCCAGGUGGCAGCAUCUCCGACCCAGGGAUAGAACCUGUCGGGAAGAAGGCAAAGAAGUUAAGAGUUCCUAUGCAGAAAUUAAUGAAAAGAGACAUCAGACCAGAUUUUUCAAAGUGGUCCACACUAGACUCUCAAAUUUUAAGACUUCAUAGCCAAAAUCUAAGUAUAAAGAGAUCAUUUGUAUUAUUUCCAGAUGAAGACACAAUUAACAUCAUUGUGAAUGAAACCAACCGUUAUGCAUCUCGAAAGAAGCUAGACCUUGGGCUCACUUUAAAAAACUGAAGUAAGUUUGGGGUGUUCUUAUUUUAAAUGAAUGUGUUCUGUAUUAAAAGAAGAGGAUGCUUUUGGAAAACUUUCCAGAUAUACAUCAUAGCUUAAUCACAAAUGCAAUGAGAAGAGACAGGUUCAAAAGUCUUUUUCAACUUCUGAUGAUCAUAGCCAUAUUGAUGAAGUGAAAAAAAUUAACAGUAAUGAUGUCUUUCACUACCAAAAUAAGUUAAAAAUUCAAAUUAUAUACACCCUAACAAAAGUUCUACAUCUUUGACAAGUCCAUGAGUAUUUUGGG